Molecule: ribosomal RNA, 408 nt
Filed under: uncultured bacterium
Lineage: Bacteria
Description: partial 16S ribosomal RNA
Rfam family: Bacterial small subunit ribosomal RNA
Source: RNAcentral
GACGAACGCUGGCGGCGUGCCUAAUACAUGCAAGUCGAGCGAAGCGGCGGAUGGGUGAGUAACGCGUGGGUAACCUGCCCUUAAUCUUGGGAAACCAUUUGGAAACGGACGCUAAUACCGGAUACAAAAGGAUGGACCUGCGUUGCAUUAGCUAGUUGGUACGGUAACGCCUUACCAAGGCGAUGCUGCAUAGUCGAGAUGAGAGACUGAUCGGCCACAUUGGGGCUCAUACACGUCCCCAACUCCUACUGGAGGCAGCAGUGGGAAAUCUUCCACAAUGGACGAAAGUCUGAUGGAACAACGCCGCGUGAGUGAAGAAGGUUUUCGGAUCGUAAAGCUCUGUUGUUGGUGAAACGGUAAUCAACCAGAAAGUCACGGCUAACUACGUGCCAGCAGCCGCGGUAAUAC